CCCCCUUUUAAUCUUUGCCAAAGAAACAUUUAAUAUAUAAAAACAUUCAGUUAUUUUCUUUUGGCUAAAAAAAAAAAUCCAGUCUUAUAAAGGAGGUGUUCUCUACAGCAUCAAGGUUGAUGAAAACCAUACUCUCGCACAGGAAGUUCAAAAGACAGAACGGCAAGCAAGAGCUGACCCAUCUGCUAUGGAAACAUGUUACCAUCUUGCGAGGGCCAAAACCACUGACAAGAACACACCGUUAUUUAUGAAAAGCCUCUGCUUCCCACCUCUGGUCAGACUCCUCGCUAAGCUGCCACUGGGCUGGGCAGGCCUGCUGAUAUCUGGCUGGCGUUGAGUCCUCAUAACUGUCAGUAACAGAGGUGCUAGUGAAAUAUUAAGAGCAAAAUGAGGUGGCCAGACCAAUCAGUGGCAAAAGAAGUCAUUUAAAAAGCUGUGAGGAAAGACGGACCUGCCAGUUCUAAGCAUUUAAGUAUAAUUCUCCUUCAAAGUUGAUGGACCCUUAAAAGGUGACAAACAGGGGCCCCUCAGCAGAAUUUCUUUUCACUGGCCAGAGUCGACGCCCAGCACACUUGGGUUUAUCCAGCGGGGCUUCGUUUUCUUUAAAGAUAAGUUAUUUCUUCAUUCAGCAGCAGAGGAGAAUCUGGAAACAAUAGGCUUGGUAAUUACUCUGAUUUAAAUGCACUGGAAGAGAUUUCAUAUAUUAUUCAAACUUGGCCAAGGAAAGGUCUUAGGAACACCAUUCAGCUAUCAGAUGAAUAUUGUUCUAGUAUCCAACAGUAUCAUUCUUUGCUCUGAGAAAAGUCUAGCACUGGGGGAUACAUAUGUAGGUAAUCAGCCUAAGUGUGGUCACUUUUAACUUUAAGAUCCCACAGUAUGACAGUAAAAAUAAGGACACAAAAAUAUAAGUUUUCCACAUGUAGUUAAUUCAAUAUUAGAUGAGUGCUUUUCAAAGCUUUAUGAAGAUGAUCUCUUUAAAUGCUUGACUGUUUAACAGGUUAUAUUUCAGCCUUAAAAUCUAAUUUUCACUCCUUCCUUUCUCAAAUCCACAAGUUUUCUGAA
Molecule: long non-coding RNA, 1062 nt
Filed under: Bos taurus (domestic cattle)
Lineage: Eukaryota; Metazoa; Chordata; Mammalia; Artiodactyla; Bovidae
Description: long non-coding RNA NONBTAT022386
Source: RNAcentral